RNAcentral lists this ribosomal RNA (370 nucleotides) under uncultured bacterium. RNAcentral describes it as "bacterial SSU rRNA". It matches the Rfam family "Bacterial small subunit ribosomal RNA", at positions 28 to 399 of the family's 1533-position model. The record is from RNAcentral.
GACGAACGCUGGCGGCGUGCUUAACACAUGCAAGUCGUAGCGGUAAGGCCCUUUCGGGGGUACACGAGCGGCGAACGGGUGAGUAACACGUGGGUGACCUGCCCUCAGCUCUGGGAUAAGCCUGGGAAACCGGGUCUAAUACUGGAUAUGACUCCAUGACGCAUGUUGUGGGGUGGAAAGCCUUGUGCGGCUGAGGAUGGGCCCGCGGCCUAUCAGCUUGUUGUGGGGUGAUGGCCUACCAAGGCGACGACGGGUAGCCGGCCUGAGAGGGCGACCGGCCACACUGGGACUGAGACACGGCCCAGACUCCUACGGGAGGCAGCAGUGGGGAAUCUUGCGCAAUGGGCGAAAGCCUGACGCAGCGACGCCG